UACGUAGGGUGCGAGCGUUGUCCGGAAUUACUGGGCGUAAAGAGCUCGUAGGUGGUUUGUCGCGUUGUUCGUGAAAACUCACAGCUUGACUGUGGGCGUGCGGGCGAUACGGGCAGACUGGAGUACUGCAGGGGAGACUGGAAUUCCUGGUGUAGCGGUGGAAUGCGCAGAUAUCAGGAGGAACACCGGUGGCGAAGGCGGGUCUCUGGGCAGUAACUGACGCUGAGGAGCGAAAGCGUGGGGAGCGAACAGG
RNAcentral lists this ribosomal RNA (253 nucleotides) under uncultured bacterium. RNAcentral's name for it is "partial 16S ribosomal RNA". It matches the Rfam family "Bacterial small subunit ribosomal RNA", at positions 524 to 776 of the family's 1533-position model. The record is from RNAcentral.